Neltuma alba is the source of this 300-nucleotide long non-coding RNA. RefSeq lists it as uncharacterized. The record is from RefSeq and is a predicted model, not a curated record. NCBI's taxonomy places the organism in Eukaryota, Viridiplantae, Streptophyta, Magnoliopsida, Fabales, Fabaceae. The transcript is spliced from 2 exons.
CCUCCCUCAGUUUGACGUUGGUCUAGCCUAUUACAAGGAUCCCAUUUCUGGCAAUCUCUUUGGACGUCGACGCCAUUGAGCAAAGGCAAUUGAAAGGGUUCUGACCGUGUAAUUGUUUGUGGUACGAAGAAAGGGCGAAUUCAAACAAAACCAAUCAAUGAUAGACAGACAAGUGCCGAUUACGGAAAGACGGAAUGGAUGAUCAAGAAUCAGGAGGACUGGAGAGUUGCCUGGAGAAAUUUUGCUUUCUUUUCUGGUUCUCUUUUUCUAACCAUGCGCUUCAAAAAGGAAAAACAAAAA